ACUACUACUUCUACUACGAUUAAAACUACAGUUAGUCACUUUCCCGUUUGCUAAAAAUAGCUUGCUGUUCAAAGCCGGCUGCGGCGACAACAAUUUGAGGGGGGCUUCCCAGAAAUCGAUCGGUCUCUAGGCUCCUUCCGAACCGGGUGAGUGGUCGGGACGCUGGCUCUACUCCGCCCUGUGUGCGCGCGAGUUCGAAUGCACGUGUCUGCGUGUGUGCUCUUCUUUCUAUGUCUGUGCGUACGCGCGCGCGCGUGCGCUUAUGUGUCUGUGUGUGCGUCGUGAACUGGACCGGGAUCUGACAAGCCGGGGUGGUAAAAUCGUGUGUUCGUUCGUAUCGAUUCUUCUUUCAGCUGGCUCUUGGUGUUGUUGACACGGUGGUGAAUCUCCUCCUGCUGGUUAGCACGCAGAGAGGGAGAAAGAGAAAGAGAGAGAGAGUGAGUGAGAGUGAGAGUAACAUAGAAUUGGCUGACUCGAGAAUCUCUGAUCUUCCCUUGGAUUACGUGGACUUUACUUUUUUACUUUUUCUCACGGGAGGCAUUCAUUCCCUAUCGCCGGUCAAGCAGUUGUGUCAUUCUAAGAGGUCUGUGAGCUAGGUGCCGUGAGGUGUUUCUUGUUCGGAACGUUUCUACUGGCUGACGCUUGUUUGUGAACUACAGUAGUUUCAUUACAUUGUACAUUAUGUACUUCAUGUAAUGUGUACGCAACGAUAGGACCUUGUUUCGAGCUUGUUUUGAAAGAACAAGAGGGUUCGUCGCUGAUGAUAAUAUUACAGUAGGUUCAAAGUGAAUUGUUGCUAAAUGCACAGUAGUUGUCGUUUGGUGAAUUUUUUUUUUCUUCCAUUUUUUAUAAUCAAACUUUUGUCGCUUUUGUACUCUGCAUAUUAUGUAGCUUCAUGGCUCAACUCUCUGAUUCAUUUCGUGACUGUAAAGUGUAUUUUCUUUAAUUUAAAGAAAAUACUUGUUCUUUUCUGUUUUCCUUUUCUUUUCAUGAUAAUUAAAAGACUUAACAAAG
Molecule: long non-coding RNA, 1014 nt
Organism: Aplysia californica (California sea hare)
Lineage: Eukaryota; Metazoa; Mollusca; Gastropoda; Aplysiida; Aplysiidae
Exons: 2
Source: RefSeq, a predicted model, not a curated record